GACGAACGCUGGCGGCGUGCUUAACACAUGCAAGUCGAACGGAAAGGCCCUGCUUUUGUGGGGUGCUCGAGUGGCGAACGGGUGAGUAACACGUGAGUAACCUGCCCUUGACUUUGGGAUAACUUCAGGAAACUGGGGCUAAUACCGGAUAGGAGCUCCUGCUGCAUGGUGGGGGUUGGAAAGUUUCGGCGGUUGGGGAUGGACUCGCGGCUUAUCAGCUUGUUGGUGGGGUAGUGGCUUACCAAGGCUUUGACGGGUAGCCGGCCUGAGAGGGUGACCGGCCACAUUGGGACUGAGAUACGGCCCAGACGCCUACGGGAGGCAGCAGUGGGGAAUAUUGCACAAUGGGCGGAAGCCUGAUGCAGCAACGCCGCGUGCGGGAUGACGGCCUUCGGGUUGUAAACCGCUUUCGCCUGUGACGAAGCGUGAGAGACGGUAAUGAGUAAAGAAGCACCGGCUAACUACGUG
This 468-nucleotide ribosomal RNA is filed under the name uncultured bacterium. RNAcentral describes it as "partial 16S ribosomal RNA". It matches the Rfam family "Bacterial small subunit ribosomal RNA", at positions 28 to 507 of the family's 1533-position model. The record is from RNAcentral.